RNAcentral lists this ribosomal RNA (373 nucleotides) under uncultured bacterium. Its description in RNAcentral is "bacterial SSU rRNA". It matches the Rfam family "Bacterial small subunit ribosomal RNA", at positions 527 to 898 of the family's 1533-position model. The record is from RNAcentral.
GAACCGUCCAAACGUUAUUCGGAAUUACUGGGCUUAAAGGGUAUGUAGGCGGCGCUGUUAGUCGGGUGUGAAAGCCCUCGGCUCAACCGAGGAAUUGCGCCCGAUACUGCAGUGCUUGAGGGAGACAGAGGUAAGCGGAACUGAUGGUGGAGCGGUGAAAUGCGUUGAUAUCAUCAGGAACACCGGUGGCGAAAGCGGCUUACUGGGUCUCUUCUGACGCUGAGAUACGAAAGCUAGGGGAGCGAAGGGGAUUAGAUACCCCCGUAGUCCUAGCUGUAAACGUUGAGCACUUGAUCGGGGACCCCCCCAUAGGUUCUCGGUCGUAGCGAAAGUGUUAAGUGCUCCGCCUGGGGAGUAUGGUCGCAAGGCUGAA